RNAcentral lists this ribosomal RNA (455 nucleotides) under Ohrigocea stankovici. RNAcentral describes it as "partial 16S ribosomal RNA". It matches the Rfam family "Bacterial large subunit ribosomal RNA", at positions 1839 to 2593 of the family's 2925-position model. Lineage: Eukaryota; Metazoa; Mollusca; Gastropoda; Littorinimorpha; Hydrobiidae. The record is from RNAcentral.
AUUAACAUAAAGAGUCGAACCUGCCCAAUGAUAUUUUUAAAUGGCCGCGGUACUCUGACCGUGCAAAGGUAGCAUAAUCAUUUGCCUUAUAAUUGAAGGCUAGUAUGAACGGUUUGACAAGAGUAGCACUGUCUCUACUAAAUUUUAUAGAAUUUGGUUUUUAGGUGAAGAAACCUAAAUAGAAUUGAAAGACAAGAAGACCCUAUCGAGCUUUAAAAAAUUUUUCUUAAAGAUUUUAGUUGGGGCGACUAAGGAACAAUAAAAGCUUCUUUUUUAUAUAUAAACUUAUAUGUUUUGAUCCAAAAAAAUGAUUAAUAGAAUUAGUUACCGUAGGGAUAACAGCAUAAUCUUUUUUGAGAGUUCUUAUCGAAAAAAAGGUUUGUGACCUCGAUGUUGGACUAGGAUAUCCUAAAGGUGUAGAAGCCUUUAAAGGUUGGUCUGUUCGACCAUUAACA